RNAcentral lists this long non-coding RNA (887 nucleotides) under Nicotiana benthamiana. Its description in RNAcentral is "long non-coding RNA (NBEN_LNC029155)". The record is from RNAcentral. Lineage: Eukaryota; Viridiplantae; Streptophyta; Magnoliopsida; Solanales; Solanaceae.
AGGCCUAUCAAGUUUGAAGCAAGAAACAACCGUGGGAAAAUGAGGACCACAAACUGCACAAAUAAAGCGGUUAAAACGUUUGUGGACUGAAGAAGGCAAGUGGAGAAGAUGGCUAUGGCUGUAGCAUGAUCUUCCAAUGCACCCUACGCAUUCAUUAAUGCUACUCCAAGUCGCUGCUCUGCUAUUUCUCAAGCUACUGACUUGCCAACAACAACCACUUCUUCCACCAUUCGCCCUGCUGUUAUUCUUCCGGUUUGCAUCCCUCUUCAUUCUCACCCUUUUGUGUUGUCUAUAUAGUCAUUUGCUCCCAAGAUUCCAAAGUUGAUGACACUAUCUUAGUUUCUUGGAAAAUUGAGUUCCAUAGUUACACCAACUCCAACUUCUUAGUGAAAGCUCGGUCUUUUACUGUGUAAAUCUAAUUAAUUAUGUCGACAAUCUAUUUGUCACUAUGUUCAAUUCAUUCUAUUGCGGCCUUCUGGGAUUCUUUUUAUUCCUUUAAUGUGGGGAGGGAGUAGUUGCAGAGUAUUAUUCAGACUUUGCGCCUUAGCUAAGGAGAUACCUUUUUGGGGUAACUGAUAAUUGGGUAUAUCAUUUGUUAUCUUCUUCAGGGACAAACAUGAUAUGUAUUCUGGCAUUCCUGUUUGUUUAGAUGGAAAUAUUCUCCUACUUGACUUAGACCAAAUUGCGCGACAUUGAACAUAAGAAAACCAUUCUCUGUUCUAUCUGCACAUUCAAGGUAGCCGCAAGUCCAAACAGACUUCUCCUCAAGAAAAUACUUGAUUUUGGUUAACCGUAUUGCCACGUCCUUAUUUUUCUCUACUUCAUUUUCCUAGGAUUAAAUUCCAGCUUUCUAUGCAUUUCCUAUAGCUAAAGUAGUUGGUGUUUUC